Molecule: long non-coding RNA, 873 nt
Organism: Bufo gargarizans (Asiatic toad)
Lineage: Eukaryota; Metazoa; Chordata; Amphibia; Anura; Bufonidae
Exons: 2
Source: RefSeq, a predicted model, not a curated record
CUUACUCUUCUGGCUCCUCUUCCGUCCCCUGUGCCUUCUUCUCUGCUGCUUGCUCCUGUCUCUGCCUCCUCCUUUGUCUACUUCACACGUCUCUUGUAUGUUUCACCCUGCAGCCUCCAUGUUGUUUUACGUGUGACAUUUGUCUUUUGCAUGCUCUGUGUAUAGGGUUUGAGUCCCACCACCACCGAUUUCGUGGAUUACCCCUCCUGUGAUCCUAGGCUCACCAUUUUCUGGACUCCCCAGCCCAAAUUGGAGACCUUGACCCCCACAGAACUGCCUGUGCACCCCAGAAUCCAGAGAAUCUGGAUGUACCAUCUGCCCUGGGAUUCCCCCGGAUAGGGGCCUGACCCUUCCACCAUCUGAUGUUCCUUCUAUCCGGUCUCCGUGGGGCUUCCUGCACGUUGUCCCGUCCCCCCCAGACUUUCACUACACCCCGUCUUGUGUCCCCCUUUCUUUCUGUGGAGACCAUAGCACCGGCCAUUCUGUCCGCUACAAGCCUGUCGACGUCUGUCCUGUCUGUGCACCAUGGGGUCCACCCUGCCGACCAGCACCGCCGACAUCGCAGCCAUAGCCUCACCGUGUCUCACCCACAUCCCACCCGGCGGCGGCCUCCAUACUGCGGGGGUAGAGGCCAGCCUUCAUUCGUGUUCAUUCAGAUAAUCAAGGAUGAUGAGCAAUUAGUGUUUCUAAUCAUGUAUAUAACGACCUCAGCGGUGUAACUAACCCUCAGCGGUGACGCCUGCCACCGGGUGUCACCACUGGGGGCGCUGUACUAACACUAACGACAAACUGUACAUACAAAGAGCUGCUUGUUACCCAAAUCGUUCUGCCUCUCUCAAUGCAAAGAUUCAAGUAAACUGAUAUGAAGUACAA